AACAAGCAGCAACGUUGGAGGAAACCCCAACCUGUCCCUAUUGGGGUCCCUGACCGUCAUCAGGUCUCUAAAUGACAGGGAUGACAUUCUUUCUUCGGCCCUGACAUUUUAUUUAGAAGGAAGAGUGGAUGCACCUCAGACAGUUGCGGGAGGUCAUGGAAGCAUUGGGAUUGCUGGAAGCACUUAAAAAGGACCCAGCGUUGAGGGUGAUGUUUGUUGGAGGUGCUCCUGCCCCACUGCAGCAAUCAUGAUGACCAACCUUUUUAAGGUGGCAUACUCUGUGGCAGGAAGCUCGCUGGCGUUUGGAGGAAGAGAAAGCUGUUGGCCACUGGAGGGACUGGCUCAUUGAUAUUGAGGGUGGAGAUGCUGUCCUGUUUGUGGAGGAUGGACUAGAGCCAGUCAAUGUGACCCUUGAAGAUGUGCUGAUGUUUGCGAAUGGCACAGAACAAAUCCCUUCACCUGGGUUCAAUGAGGUGCAUGCACUGGCUUUUUUAAAUGAGCCAGUUAACAGCAGGAGGAGGGUUUUUCCUGAGGCAAACACCUGCGCUCUGGUCUUGAGGCUGCCAUUACAUGCCUCAUAUGAAGCAUUCUCUGACUGUAUAAUAUCUGGCAUUGUCCAGUCUCCAAAUUUUGGAACUGCCUAAAGAUAAGGGUGAGGUUCCGGCAUGUACUGUAUAUAGUUCUUAUAUGAUGUUUUGUUAAUAUUAUUUAGUUAUGUAGUUUUAUAUAUGUUAGAUAUUAAUGAUUUUUGUUAAUGAGAUAUUGAUAUUGGGUGAAUUGAUUUAUUUGAAAGAUUUUUCCUAUCUGUCUGGUAUUGGAACAGUGUCGGAUUCCCCGUAUCUUUCAAAGGCAUUCAACUGGCGUUGAUGACUAAAGAAACUUGCCACACUAUUAAUAGGAUAAUUUCUUGAAAUUUCUCAAAUGUGCCAGUUUUUGAGCUCUCUGAAAUGUUCACAUUUUUUAAUUUAUCCACAAAAAUUAAAUAUAAAAUUA
This is a long non-coding RNA of Micropterus dolomieu (smallmouth bass), 993 nucleotides long. RefSeq lists it as uncharacterized. Lineage: Eukaryota; Metazoa; Chordata; Actinopteri; Centrarchiformes; Centrarchidae. The transcript has 3 exons. The record is from RefSeq and is a predicted model, not a curated record.